Non-coding RNA from Paramuricea clavata, 546 nucleotides. The record is from the annotation of a GenBank genome assembly. NCBI's taxonomy places the organism in Eukaryota, Metazoa, Cnidaria, Anthozoa, Malacalcyonacea, Plexauridae.
GCUUAGCAAAAUGUCAUUCGUGACUGUUGGCGUAAGGAGAUAGCUCUCGUGUGCGGGCGAUUUACGAACGACUUUUGUCAUUCGUGCCAAGUUUGAUAAUUUCUGCCUCGCGUGCCAAAAUCUUUCCGUGUGCGGCGAACGAUAGCUAUCUGCUUACGGAUUGUCGUAACAGCGCAUGCGUAGUAUACGAAAGUAAACAUCCAAGAUGGCGGCGCAAAAUGAAUUACUGGCCGAGGCAAUUUUAGAGGACAAACUUACUGACUAUUUCUUUCACCGCACAUUCCCUUUUGUCCCUAUUUCUAAAAUCUGCAGAAUUCACAUCGUAUAAACAUUUAUAUUCAGGCCAAAGUUCGACAAGUUUGUCCUCUAAAAUUGCCUCGGCCAGCAAUUCAUUUUGCGCCGCCAUCUUGGAUGUUUACUUUCGUAUACUACGCAUGCGCUGUUACGACAAUCCGUAAGCAGAUAGCUUUCGUUCGCCGCACACGGAAAGAUUUUGGCACGCGAGGCAGAAAUUAUCAAACAUGUUAGAUAUUUGGCGUAAGUGGC